RNAcentral lists this long non-coding RNA (1594 nucleotides) under Gossypium barbadense (sea-island cotton). RNAcentral's name for it is "long non-coding RNA (GBAR_LNC006844)". The record is from RNAcentral. Lineage: Eukaryota; Viridiplantae; Streptophyta; Magnoliopsida; Malvales; Malvaceae.
UUUUUUUUUUUUUCUUUUUCCCACCAAAUGUGGGUUUGUUUAUUGUUGUUGGAUCAAUGGUGACUUUCCUUUAAUAUGAAAAAGAAAAAUACAAAUUUUAUAAUUCUUAAUUCCAACCUAUAUACUUGCAAAAUAUUGUGAAUUGAGUCUUAUCUCGAUUGACAUGAUUAUUGUUGUCAAUGUAGAAGGACGUGGGUUCAAGUGCGCUGAAACGCAUUGUCCUCCUAUUUAUGGGUUGAAAAUGAGCUAUGGGCAAUUCUAAAUAUUAAGUCAAAAAGAACAAAUAUAAUCGGAACUUAUAAUGAGAUUAUUCAAAAAAUAAAACAAAUAUAAGUUGUUCAAGUAUAUUAUUAUGUAUAUUAUCCUCGACCCAAUAAAACUAGUCUCAUAUUGUAAAUAAAGAUAAUAUCAUUUUAACAUACAUUAUAUGAAGAUGGUGAAUAUAAAUGUCUUACCACUAGAUAAAAUUGAAAUAAUUUAUAAUUGGUACGUACGAUGUAACUUUACAAAGAUAAAAGAUAAUUUUUAAUAAAUAUAAAAAACUUGCAAUAAUGUGAUAUAAAAUAUAUUUAUAAAUUGUCGAUGUAUUCAACUCAAACACAAUAAAAUUGAACUAGACUCAUAUUAAGCAUUUAAUCUAAAAUCAAUUGAUAAAAAAUGAAAAGAUUUUAUUUGUAUAUAAGAAUUUUAAAAUUUAAUAAAAAUUUCAUCCAUUAAAAGACAAAGAAGCCUAUCAUGUUACAACUUUUAAGAAGUACCUAGUAUGACUAAUGUUUCAGAACAAUAUAAUAAAACCUCACUCUCAUACCAUAUUAAACAUCAAUCUUAAAUAGAAAAAAAGAAUUACAUGAAAGGAUUUGGGAGGAAAUAGAAAAACAAUUAAUGUAUAUGUAAGACCCAAUUUUAGCCCGGGCUCAAAUAUCUAGUUACAGCCCACACACAUACAAAAGCAAAAAUAAAUAAUAAACCCAAAAAUAAAACCAAUUACAUUAAGCAAGCCCAAUAGCCUAAAUCAGAAAGACAUGGAAAACCCUAGGCUAUUUCCUUGUGCUGCAGGCCCCACGUUUAGCGUCCCUCCACCGCACACGUCGGCACAUCAAGCACGACUCCUAGCCAGUGUGUAGCACGCACCACGCCCCAUGACGCUCUCCUCCACGAUCUGCAAUUUGAGCGAGAGAGUAGCAAGUAACUGUUUGUAUUUGGCUAUAAAGCCUUCAAAUUUUUCAUUGUAUGCGGUUUUUUUUUUAGAUACGAAUACACACAAAAUCAAGAAACAGCAAUAAAAAUCAGAUUCAAGAUUCAAAAGGUUGAGGUUUUCUCAUUGUUUUUCUUUUCGCAUCCUUGUUUCUUUUUUCACCUUUUUACAAAUUUUUAAAUAAAAGCCGAAAGAAAGGAGGCUUACCUGGGUUCUCACCGUGGAUCGGCGUCAGAGGCGGUAGUUGAAGGCUGGAUAUCAGCCGUUCGGUUCAAAAGCAGAGAGGAGAGUGAAGGUGCUAAGAAAAUAUCUCAAAAUUUUAGGGUUUCUUUUUAAAGCUUAAAAUGUUUUUUUUUAAAUGAUUUAAAUGGUGAAAUUGAAACAGCAUUAGGGGGGGGG